This 495-nucleotide ribosomal RNA is filed under the name uncultured bacterium. Its description in RNAcentral is "partial 16S ribosomal RNA". It matches the Rfam family "Bacterial small subunit ribosomal RNA", at positions 28 to 507 of the family's 1533-position model. The record is from RNAcentral.
GACGAACGCUGGCGGCGUGCCUAAUACAUGCAAGUAGAACGCUGAAGGAGGAGCUUGCUUCUCUGGAUGAGUUGCGAACGGGUGAGUAACGCGUAGGUAACCUGCCUGGUAGCGGGGGAUAACUAUUGGAAACGAUAGCUAAUACCGCAUAAGAGUAGAUGUUGCAUGACAUUUGCUUAAAAGGUGCAAUUGCAUCACUACCAGAUGGACCUGCGUUGUAUUAGCUAGUUGGUGAGGUAACGGCUCACCAAGGCAACGAUACAUAGCCGACCUGAGAGGGUGAUCGGCCACACUGGGACUGAGACACGGCCCAGACUCCUACGGGAGGCAGCAGUAGGGAAUCUUCGGCAAUGGACGGAAGUCUGACCGAGCAACGCCGCGUGAGUGAAGAAGGUUUUCGGAUCGUAAAGCUCUGUUGUAAGAGAAGAACGAGUGUGAGAGUGGAAGGUUCACACUGUGACGGUAUCUUACCAGAAAGGGACGGCUAACUACGUG